CGCGUAGGCGGCGGACCUUGUCGAGUGUGAAAGCCCCGGGCUCAACCUGGGAGGUGCGCUCGAGACGGGUUUGCUGGAGUUCGGGAGAGGAGAGUGGAAUUCCCAGUGUAGAGGUGAAAUUCGUAGAUAUUGGGAAGAACACCGGUGGCGAAGGCGGCUCUCUGGACCGAGACUGACGCUGAGGCGCGAAAGCGUGGGGAGCAAACAGGAUUGGAUACCCUGGUAGUCCACGCUGUAAACGAUGUGUGCUAGACGUUGGGGAGCGUAGCUCUUCGGUGUCGCCGCAAACGCUUUAAGCACACCGCCUGGGGAGUACGGCCGCAAGGUUAAA
Molecule: ribosomal RNA, 331 nt
Filed under: uncultured bacterium
Lineage: Bacteria
Description: bacterial SSU rRNA
Rfam family: Bacterial small subunit ribosomal RNA
Source: RNAcentral